AACCUCUGACCCCUAACCUCUAAUACCUGACUGUCUGGUCAUCACAUUGAUGUAACUUUAUGGUACCACUGGUGUCCCUUCAGUCCCAUUGAAGCCUAUAAUAACUCCCUGUUACACUGCACACAUCCAAAAACACACAACCAACCCUAGUGAAAACUAGUCUGCUUCUGAAAUGGCCCCCUACCAGGGCCCGUAGGGCUCUGCUUAAAAGUAGUGCACUAUAUAGGGAAUAAGCCAUUUCAGAAGCAGUUCUAGUUGACCUAUAUACUACUACGCUAGGCAGCUAAAGAACAAUCACAAGGUCAAACACGUUUCACUAAUAAAUAACACAGAGCUGCUAUUCAUGUAAAGUACAACAACAUGGGCUGAUAAAUAAUACAUAUAGCUGCUAUUCAUGUAAAGUACAACAACAUGGGCUGAUAAAUAAUACACAGAGCUGCUAUUCAUGUAAAGUACAACAACAUGGGCUGAUAAUAAAUACACAGAGCUGCUAUUCAUGUAAAGUACAACAACAUGGGCUGAUAAAUAAUACAUAUAGCUGCUAUUCAUGUAAAGUACAACAACAUGGGCUGAUAAUAAAUACACAGAGCUGCUAUUCAUGUAAAGUACAACAACAUGGGCUGAUAAUAAAUAACACAGAGCUGCUAUUCAUGUAAAGUACAACAACAUGGGCUGAUAAUAAAUACACAGAGCUGCUAUUCAUGUAAAGUACAACAACAUGGGCUGAUAAUAAAUAACAUUAUAUAGCUGCUAUUCAUGUAAAGUACAACAACAUGGGCUGAUAAAUAAUACAUAUUGCUGCUAUUCAUGUAAAGUACAACAACAUGGGCUGAUAAUAAAUACAUAGAGCUGCUAUUCAUGUAAUAAUAAUAAUAAAUAUCCCAAAAACAUGGGCUGUUUUGACUAAACAUGAAUUUAGAAUCUUCACAGUAAGUUAACAAAAACUAUGGACAGACACUCCUCCCUUCAUUACCAGAAAUAUCCGGCCCGUAUUCCCUCCUCCUUCCUCCGGCCCGUAUUCC
Molecule: long non-coding RNA, 1022 nt
Filed under: Salmo salar (Atlantic salmon)
Lineage: Eukaryota; Metazoa; Chordata; Actinopteri; Salmoniformes; Salmonidae
Description: lncRNA (ENSSSAG00000112843.1)
Source: RNAcentral